GUGAACGCUGGCGGUAGGCCUAACACAUGCAAGUCGAACGGCAGCACAGUAAGAGCUUGCUCUUACGGGUGGCGAGUGGCGGACGGGUGAGGAAUACAUCGGAAUCUACUUUUUCGUGGGGGAUAACGUAGGGAAACUUACGCUAAUACCGCAUACGACCUACGGGUGAAAGCAGGGGAUCUUCGGACCUUGCGCGAUUGAAUGAGCCGAUGUCGGAUUAGCUAGUUGGCGGGGUAAAGGCCCACCAAGGCGACGAUCCGUAGCUGGUCUGAGAGGAUGAUCAGCUACACUGGAACUGAGACACGGUCCAGACUCCUACGGGAGGCAGCAGUGGGGAAUAUUGGACAAUGGGCGCAAGCCUGAUCCAGCCAUACCGCGUGGGUGAAGAAGGCCUUCGGGUUGUAAAGCCCUUUUGUUGGGAAAGAAAAGCAGCAGGUUAAUACCCCGCUGUUCUGACGGUACCCAAAGAAUAAGCACCGGCUAACUUCGUG
RNAcentral lists this ribosomal RNA (491 nucleotides) under uncultured bacterium. Its description in RNAcentral is "partial 16S ribosomal RNA". It matches the Rfam family "Bacterial small subunit ribosomal RNA", at positions 29 to 507 of the family's 1533-position model. The record is from RNAcentral.